GCUGGGCGGCAGCUACACAUGCAGUCGAGCGGUAGAGAGAAGCUUGGCUCUUGAGAGCGGCGGACGGGUGAGUAAUGCCUAGGAAUCUGCCUGGUAGUGGGGGAUAACGUUCGGAAACGGACGCUAAUACCGCAUACCUCCUACGGGAGAAAGCAGGGGACCUUCGGGCCUUGCGCUAUCAGAUGAGCCUAGGUCGGAUUAGCUAGUUGGUGAGGUAAUGGCUCACCAAGGCGACGAUCCGUAACUGGUCUGAGAGGAUGAUCAGUCACACUGGAACUGAGACACGGUCCAGACUCCUACGGGAGGCAGCAGUGGGGAAUAUUGGACAAUGGGCGAAAGCCUGAUCCAGCCAUGCCGCGUGUGUGAAGAAGGUCUUCGGAUUGUAAAGCACUUUAAGUUGGGAGGAAGGGUUGUAGAUUAAUACUCUGCAAUUUUGACGUUACCGACAGAAUAAGCACCGGCUAACUCUGUGCCAGCAGCCGCGGUAAUACAGAGGGUGCAAGCGUUAAUCGGAAUUACUGGGCGUAAAGCGCGCGUAGGUGGUUUGUUAAGUUGGAUGUGAAAUCCCCGGGCUCAACCUGGGAACUGCAUUCAAAACUGACUGACUAGAGUAUGGUAGAGGGUGGUGGAAUUUCCUGUGUAGCGGUGAAAUGCGUAGAUAUAGGAAGGAACCCUGUGGCGAAGGCGACCACCUGGACUAAUACUGACACUGAGGUGCGAAAGCUG
RNAcentral lists this ribosomal RNA (726 nucleotides) under Pseudomonas sp. CM-3. RNAcentral's name for it is "bacterial SSU rRNA". It matches the Rfam family "Bacterial small subunit ribosomal RNA", at positions 35 to 762 of the family's 1533-position model. Lineage: Bacteria; Pseudomonadati; Pseudomonadota; Gammaproteobacteria; Pseudomonadales; Pseudomonadaceae. The record is from RNAcentral.